CCAACCCAUGUGACGUUACCAAACUGUUGCCUCGGCGGGAUCUCUGCCCCGGGUGCGUCGCAGCCCCGGACCAAGGCGCCCGCCGGAGGACCAACCAAAACUCUUUUUGUAUACCCCCUCGCGGGUUUUUUAUAAUCUGAGCCUUCUCGGCGCCUCUCGUAGGCGUUUCGAAAAUGAAUCAAAACUUUCAACAACGGAUCUCUUGGUUCUGGCAUCGAUGAAGAACGCAGCGAAAUGCGAUAAGUAAUGUGAAUUGCAGAAUUCAGUGAAUCAUCGAAUCUUUGAACGCACAUUGCGCCCGCCAGUAUUCUGGCGGGCAUGCCUGUCCGAGCGUCAUUUCAACCCUCGAACCCCUCCGGGGGGUCGGCGUUGGGGAUCGGCCCUGCCUCUUGGCGGUGGCCGUCUCCGAAAUACAGUGGCGGUCUCGCCGCAGCCUCUCCUGCGCAGUAGUUUGCACACUCGCAUCGGGAGCGCGGCGCGUCCACAGCCGUUAAACACCCAACUUCUGAAAUGUUGACCUCGGAUCAGGUAGGAAUACCCGCUGAACUUAAGCAUAUCA
This 559-nucleotide ribosomal RNA is filed under the name Trichoderma harzianum. RNAcentral describes it as "eukaryotic LSU rRNA". The stretch from base 183 to 336 matches the Rfam family "5.8S ribosomal RNA". Lineage: Eukaryota; Fungi; Ascomycota; Sordariomycetes; Hypocreales; Hypocreaceae. The record is from RNAcentral.